UGGGGAAUCUUGCGCAAUGGGGGAAACCCUGACGCAGCGACGCCGCGUGCGGGAUGAAGGCCUCCGGGUUGUAAACCGCUUUCAGUAGGGACGAAGCGUAAGUGACGGUACCUGCAGAAGAAGCACCGGCUACCUACGUGCCAGCAGCCGCGGUAAUACGUAGGGUGCGAGCGUUGUCCGGAAUUACUGGGCGUAAAGAGCUCGUAGGCGGUUUGUCACGUCGUCUGUGAAAUCCUAGGGCUUAACCCUGGACGUGCAGGCGAUACGGGCUGACUUGAGGACUACAGGGGAGACUGGAAGUUCUGGUGUAGCGGUGGAAUGCACAGAGAUAAGGAAGAACACCGAUGGCGAAGGCAGGGCUCUGGGUAGUAACUGACGCUGAGGAGCGAAAGCAUGGGUAGCGAACAGG
This 409-nucleotide ribosomal RNA is filed under the name Verrucomicrobiota bacterium. Its description in RNAcentral is "Verrucomicrobia bacterium partial 16S ribosomal RNA". It matches the Rfam family "Bacterial small subunit ribosomal RNA", at positions 355 to 776 of the family's 1533-position model. The record is from RNAcentral. Lineage: Bacteria; Pseudomonadati; Verrucomicrobiota.